CCCGAAUGCUCACAUCUCCCCCGGGUGCCGCUGGCACCCCCACUGUACACCCGGAAGGCGCCGCUUCCAGGACUGGGGCUCCUGGGUGCCCUUCCCUCCGGGACCGUCCUGGCAGAGGUGCUGGCCGGCUUCUCACUGCCCACACCUGCGUCUGUCCCCGGCCCCCGGAGCAGGCCAGAGACCGGUAACCUAAGCCUCGCUCCCGCUCCAGCACGCACCGGAGGCCCUUGACAGUGACUCACAGGAAGUGGGUGCAAAUCCUCCAGCUCCUGCUCCUAGCAGGGGGGCAGCCCCAAGGUGCGGCUCACACCGCUCUCCAGGAGUCAGGCUCGUAGGGCACAGAAAACAUCAUAUGAAAAACAAGCAGAAGAGUCAUAAUCCUCAUCCGGAGCUUGCUGUCCAGGUCAAACUCCGGCUUCGCAGACACCAGCCCUUACACCCAGCGCGAGACUGUGAGGUACAGAAACCGAGGUGGGCAAAGCUUAGGCCCUGGGAGCUGAGAGAAGACGCACGCAGCCGCCAGAGCACAGACUGGGUCCCGGAAGCUCGGAGAAGCUCACGGAGGCUGCCGAGGGCCCCCCCGGGAGCAGUGAAGGACCCAGAAAAACCAGUUGUAGUUUGAAGCCAGUGUUGUUUGAAGGUCUGAGAGCUGAAGGGGGUGAUGCUGUGGAUUCCAGUUUGAGUUUGUGAACCUGAGAUCCAGGAGUACCAAGGCCAGGAGAAGAUCCAGAUCAGUUGGUGCCCAACCACUUUGAGCAGAGUCACCUGCUCUUCUCAGUCUAUUGAUUCAAAUAGAAUUCUCCUCUGGAAACACCCUCUCACACACAUAGAUUGAAAAGUGAUGUUUAUUCGGGCAUCUGGGCACCUUGUGGCCUAGUUGAGUUGCCAUAGAAUUGAUCACCACAUUAUGAAUCCUCUUCUAAAAAAAUACACGUGUUCACUCAGUUUUGAAUGUAAUGAUCAGGGACCUCAGAAGCCCUGUGGAGCCCACCCAGAGAAUCUUUCCUCAUCUCCAGGCCAGGGACGUUUCAUGGAGUCCAGGACAAGAACCAAGCCCCGUUUUGUGCCUUCACAGAGCAGGCAUUGCCGCCUGACAGUUCUCUGUUCCAGUCUUCCCUGAGUGAGGAAGAAGACCAAGAUCUACAGGAUAAACCCAGCCACCCUCCAGGCCUCCCAGGCAAAGGCCUCUUCCCAAUACCCAGGGCCAGACAUACUUUUCUCCCCAUGUUGAUUCAUUAUGUCAUCUUGACAGAGCACUUGGCAGGGUCCAAACACUGCGAUGGGUGCUGAGAUACUACUGUGGUUUGGAUCUGGAUUGAGCGUGCUCCCGAAGGGUUCCUGGGUUGACAUUCAGUCCCCAUCCGAGAUGUGAAGGGUCCGGAAACUUAAUCUGACCAUGGAGUUUGGAGGUGGGGUUGGG
Molecule: long non-coding RNA, 1420 nt
Filed under: Heterocephalus glaber (naked mole-rat)
Lineage: Eukaryota; Metazoa; Chordata; Mammalia; Rodentia; Bathyergidae
Description: lncRNA (ENSHGLG00100048108.1)
Source: RNAcentral